AGUGAACGCUGGCGGUAGGCCUAACACAUGCAAGUCGAACGGCAGCACAGUAAGAGCUUGCUCUUACGGGUGGCGAGUGGCGGACGGGUGAGGAAUACAUCGGAAUCUACUUUUUCGUGGGGGAUAACGUAGGGAAACUUACGCUAAUACCGCAUACGACCUACGUGUGAAAGCAGGGGAUCUUCGGACCUUGCGCGAUUGAAUGAGCCGAUGUCGGAUUAGCUAGUUGGCGGGGUAAAGGCCCACCAAGGCGACGAUCCGUGGCUGGUCUGAGAGGAUGAUCAGCCACACUGGAACUGAGACACGGUCCAGACUCCUACGGGAGGCAGCAGUGGGGAAUAUUGGACAAUGGGCGCAAGCCUGAUCCAGCCAUACCGCGUGGGUGAAGAAGGCCUUCGGGUUGUAAAGCCCUUUUGUUGGGAAAGAAAAGCAGCAGGUUAAUACCCCGCUGUUCUGACGGUACCCAAAGAAUAAGCACCGGCUAACUUCGUG
This 492-nucleotide ribosomal RNA is filed under the name uncultured bacterium. Its description in RNAcentral is "partial 16S ribosomal RNA". It matches the Rfam family "Bacterial small subunit ribosomal RNA", at positions 29 to 507 of the family's 1533-position model. The record is from RNAcentral.